UACGAAGGGGGCUAGCGUUGCUCGGAAUCACUGGGCGUAAGGGGUGCGUAGGCGGGUCUUUUAAGUCAGGGGUGAAAUCCUGGAGCUCAACUCCAGAACUGCCUUUGAUACUGAGGAUCUUGAGUUCGGGAGAGGUGAGUGGAACUGCGAGUGUAGAGGUGAAAUUCGUAGAUAUUCGCAAGAACACCAGUGGCGAAGGCGGCUCACUGGCCCGAUACUGACGCUGAGGCACGAAAGCGUGGGGAGCAAACAGG
This 254-nucleotide ribosomal RNA is filed under the name uncultured bacterium. RNAcentral's name for it is "partial 16S ribosomal RNA". It matches the Rfam family "Bacterial small subunit ribosomal RNA", at positions 524 to 776 of the family's 1533-position model. The record is from RNAcentral.